AACGAACGCUGGCGGCAUGCCUAACACAUGCAAGUCGAACGAGAUCUUCGGGUCUAGUGGCGCACGGGUGCGUAACGCGUGGGAAUCUGCCCUUUGGUUCGGAAUAACAGUUGGAAACGACUGCUAAUACCGGAUGAUGACGAAAGUCCAAAGAUUUAUCGCCAGGGGAUGAGCCCGCGUAGGAUUAGCUAGUUGGUGUGGUAAAGGCGCACCAAGGCGACGAUCCUUAGCUGGUAUGAGAGGAUGAUCAGCCAAACUGGGACUGAGACACGGCCCAGACUCCUACGGGAGGCAGCAGUGGGGAAUAUUGGACAAUGGGCGAAAGCCUGAUCCAGCAAUGCCGCGUGAGUGAUGAAGGCCUUAGGGUUGUAAAGCUCUUUUACCCGGGAUGAUAAUGACAGUACCGGGAGAAUAAGCUCCGGCUAACUCCGUGCCAGCCGCCGCCGUAA
This 449-nucleotide ribosomal RNA is filed under the name uncultured bacterium. RNAcentral's name for it is "partial 16S ribosomal RNA". It matches the Rfam family "Bacterial small subunit ribosomal RNA", at positions 29 to 523 of the family's 1533-position model. The record is from RNAcentral.